This 470-nucleotide ribosomal RNA is filed under the name uncultured Acidobacteriota bacterium. RNAcentral describes it as "bacterial SSU rRNA". It matches the Rfam family "Bacterial small subunit ribosomal RNA", at positions 38 to 489 of the family's 1533-position model. Lineage: Bacteria; Pseudomonadati; Acidobacteriota. The record is from RNAcentral.
GGAGGCGUGCCUAACACAUGCNAGUCGAACGANAANCUUGGGUGUAGCAAUACAUCUGGGUGAGUANAGUGGNGUACGGGUGAGUAACACGUAGCUAACCUACCCUCAAGCGGGGGAUAACCUGGGGAAACCCGGGCUAAUACCGCAUAACACCCCGAAGGCGCAAGUCAUUGGGGUCAAAGGUCCGCAAGGGCCACUGGAGGAGGGGGCUGCGGCCGAUUAGCUAGUUGGUGAGGUAACGGCCCACCAAGGCAAUGAUCGGUAGCCGGCCUGAGAGGGCGCACGGCCACACUGGCACUGAAACACGGGCCAGACUCCUACGGGAGGCAGCAGUGGGGAAUUUUGCACAAUGCCCGAAAGGGUGAUGCANCAACGCCGCGUGAGGGAUGAANGCCUUCGGGUCGUAAACCUCUUUCGACCGGGAAAAAUGGGCGGGUGAAUAAUCCGCUCUGAUGGUACCGGUGGAAGAA